GGAUUGGGAGGUAUUGAAUUAGAUAGCGAGAUUCCUGUUUUGAAUUCUAGGCUUUUAGAGAUUAGUAGGAUGAUGCAAUCUGGUUUGCCCUUAGAUGAUCGCCCCGAAGGUGCUCGAUCACCUUCCCCUGAGCCGGUUUAUGAUAACAUGGGUGUUAGGAUUAAUACUAGGGAAUAUCGUGCUCGUGAGAGGUUGCAAAAAGAGAGACAGGAGAUUAUAUCCGCUAUUAUUAAGAAAAACCCUGCUUUCAAGCCACCUGCUGAUUAUAGGCCACCAAAGCUUCAUAAAAAGCUUUAUAUCCCCAUGAAGGAGUACCCUGGUUAUAAUUUUAUCGGCCUCAUUAUUGGGCCGAGGGGGAACACACAGAAGCGCAUGGAGAAGGAAACCGGUGCGAAGAUUGUAAUUCGUGGAAAAGGGUCAGUGAAGGAAGGGAGGUUGCAGCAGAAGAGGGAUUAUAAGCCUGAUCUUUCAGAUAACGAGGAUUUGCAUGUUUUGGUGGAGGCGGAGACGCAGGAAUCACUUGAUGCUGCUGCUGGUAUGGUGGAGAAGCUGUUGCAGCCGGUGGAUGAGGUGUUGAAUGAGCAUAAGAGACAGCAGCUUAAGGAGCUCGCUGCUUUGAAUGGGACAAUCAGGGAUGAAGAGUUUUGCAGGUUGUGUGGUGAGCCUGGUCAUCGUCAGUAUGCAUGUCCUACUAGGAAUUCGACAUUCAAGAGUGAGGUUGUGUGUAAGCAUUGUGGGGAUGGUGGUCAUCCAAGUAUAGAUUGUCCGGUGAAGGGUGCUACUGGGAAGAAGAUGGAUGAUGAGUAUCAGAACUUCCUGGCGGAGUUGGGUGGUUCAGUUCCUGAAUCUGCAACGACACAAACCAAUGUGUUGGCAAUUGGUUCUGGAAAUUCUGGAAGCAAUCCUCCUUGGGCUAACAAUUUCGGAUCAAGUGGUGGCACACAACAUGCUGGAUUAGGGUUUAAUCCAGCUAAAAAGGAAAUAGAUGAUACAAACUUGUACAUCGGGUAUUUGCCACCUACCCUUGAGGAUGAUGGUCUGAUCCAAUUGUUUCAACAAUUUGGGGAGAUUGUCAUGGCAAAAGUUAUAAAGGAUCGACUGACUGGUUUAAGUAAAGGAUAUGGGUUUGUCAAGUAUGCUGAUGUUCAAAUGGCGAACACUGCAAUUGCGUCCAUGAAUGGUUAUCACCUUGAGGGUCGGACCAUUAGUGCCGCCGUGACCAGCGGCACCACCGAGAAGGACCAAUCCGGUGGCGAGGAGGAGACCACCAGCAAACGCCGCCGCCGAAAGAGCCGAUGGGACCCACAGCCAGACUCCAACGAACAAAACGGCUCCGAUUCUGGCACCAAGAAGAGGAAGUCACGAUGGGCGGAGGAGCCAACGCCGGUGUCCAUUCAUCUGGGAGAUCUCAUGGGAUUGGGAGGUAUUGAAUUAGAUAGCGAGAUUCCUGUUUUGAAUUCUAGGCUUUUAGAGAUUAGUAGGAUGAUGCAAUCUGGUUUGCCCUUAGAUGAUCGCCCCGAAGGUGCUCGAUCACCUUCCCCUGAGCCGGUUUAUGAUAACAUGGGUGUUAGGAUUAAUACUAGGGAAUAUCGUGCUCGUGAGAGGUUGCAAAAAGAGAGACAGGAGAUUAUAUCCGCUAUUAUUAAGAAAAACCCUGCUUUCAAGCCACCUGCUGAUUAUAGGCCACCAAAGCUUCAUAAAAAGCUUUAUAUCCCCAUGAAGGAGUACCCUGGUUAUAAUUUUAUCGGCCUCAU
RNAcentral lists this long non-coding RNA (1754 nucleotides) under Lupinus angustifolius (narrow-leaved blue lupine). Its description in RNAcentral is "long non-coding RNA (LANG_LNC001164)". The record is from RNAcentral. Lineage: Eukaryota; Viridiplantae; Streptophyta; Magnoliopsida; Fabales; Fabaceae.